GAUGAACGCUGGCGGCGUGCCUAAUACAUGCAAGUCGAGCGAAUGGAUUAAGAGCUUGCUCUUAUGAAGUUAGCGGCGGACGGGUGAGUAACACGUGAGUAACCUGCCCAUAAGACUGGGAUAACUCCGGGAAACCGGGGCUAAUACCGGAUAACAUUUUGAACCGCAUGGUUCGAAAUUGAAAGGCGGCUUCGGCUGUCACUUAUGGAUGGACCCGCGUCGCAUUAGCUAGUUGGUGAGGUAACGGCUCACCAAGGCAACGAUGCGUAGCCGACCUGAGAGGGUGAUCGGCCACACUGGGACUGAGACACGGCCCAGACUCCUACGGGAAGCAGCAGUAGGGAAUCUUCCGCAAUGGACGAAAGUCUGACGGAGCAACGCCGCGUGAGUGAUGAAGGCUUUCGGGUCGUAAAACUCUGUUGUUAGGGAAGAACAAGUGCUAGUUGAAUAAGCUGGUACCUUGACGGUACCUAACCAGAAAGCCACGGCUAACUACGUGCCAGCCGCCGCCGUAA
RNAcentral lists this ribosomal RNA (515 nucleotides) under uncultured bacterium. Its description in RNAcentral is "partial 16S ribosomal RNA". It matches the Rfam family "Bacterial small subunit ribosomal RNA", at positions 28 to 523 of the family's 1533-position model. The record is from RNAcentral.